UUUCCUCUGGCUUGCCAGAAAGCU
RNAcentral lists this non-coding RNA (24 nucleotides) under Cricetulus griseus (Chinese hamster). Lineage: Eukaryota; Metazoa; Chordata; Mammalia; Rodentia; Cricetidae. The record is from RNAcentral.